RNAcentral lists this ribosomal RNA (494 nucleotides) under uncultured Lachnospiraceae bacterium. RNAcentral's name for it is "bacterial SSU rRNA". It matches the Rfam family "Bacterial small subunit ribosomal RNA", at positions 1 to 507 of the family's 1533-position model. The record is from RNAcentral. Lineage: Bacteria; Bacillati; Bacillota; Clostridia; Lachnospirales; Lachnospiraceae.
CGUAGAGAGUUUGUAGUCCUGGCUCAGGAGUGAACGCUGGCGGCGUGCUAACCACAUGCAAGUCGAACGAGUCUGUAUUGAACCUAGUGAUAUACAGGUUAGUGGCGGACGGGUGAGUAACGCGUGAUAACCUGCCGUAUACCGGGGGAUAACACUUAGAAAUAGGUGCUAAUACCGCAUGAGCGCACAGCUCCGCAUGGAGCGGUGUGAAAAACUCCGGUGGUAUACGAUGGAUCCGCGUCUGAUUAGCCAGUUGGCGGGGUAACGGCCCACCAAAGCGACGAUCAGUAGCCGGCCUGAGAGGGUGAACGGCCACAUUGGGACUGAGACACGGCCCAGACUCCUACGGGAGGCAGCAGUGGGGAAUAUUGCACAAUGGGGGAAACCCUGAUGCAGCGACGCCGCGUGAGUGAAGAAGUAUCUCGGUAUGUAAAGCUCUAUCAGCAGGAAAGAUAAUGACGGUACCUGACUAAGAAGCCCCGGCUAACUACAUG